UACGAAGGGGGCUAGCGUUGCUCGGAAUCACUGGGCGUAAAGGGUGCGUAGGCGGUUCUUUAAGUCAUGGGUGAAAUCCUGGAGCUCAACUCCAGAACUGCCUUUGAUACUGAAGAUCUUGAGUUCGGGAGAGGUGAGUGGAACUGCGAGUGUAGAGGUGAAAUUCGUAGAUAUUCGCAAGAACACCAGUGGCGAAGGCGGCUCACUGGCCCGAUACUGACGCUGAGGCACGAAAGCGUGGGGAGCAAACAGG
This 253-nucleotide ribosomal RNA is filed under the name uncultured bacterium. RNAcentral describes it as "partial 16S ribosomal RNA". It matches the Rfam family "Bacterial small subunit ribosomal RNA", at positions 524 to 776 of the family's 1533-position model. The record is from RNAcentral.